Molecule: ribosomal RNA, 1489 nt
Filed under: uncultured bacterium
Lineage: Bacteria
Description: bacterial SSU rRNA
Rfam family: Bacterial small subunit ribosomal RNA
Source: RNAcentral
UGGUUUGAUUCUGGCUCAGGAUGAACGCUAGCUACAGGCUUAACACAUGCAAGUCGAGGGGCAGCAUUUUAGUUUGCUUGCAAACUAAAGAUGGCGACCGGCGCACGGGUGAGUAACACGUAUCCAACCUGCCGAUAACUCGGGGAUAGCCUUUCGAAAGAAAGAUUAAUAUCCGAUAGUAUAUUAAAACCGCAUGGUUUUACUAUUAAAGAAUUUCGGUUAUCGAUGGGGAUGCGUUCCAUUAGUCUGUUGGCGGGGUAACGGCCCACCAAGACUACGAUGGAUAGGGGUUCUGAGAGGAAGGUCCCCCACACUGGAACUGAGACACGGUCCAAACUCCUACGGGAGGCAGCAGUGAGGAAUAUUGGUCAAUGGACGAGAGUCUGAACCAGCCAAGUAGCGUGAAGGAUGACUGCCCUAUGGGUUGUAAACUUCUUUUAUAUGGGAAUAAAGUAUUCCACGUGUGGGAUUUUGUAUGUACCAUAUGAAUAAGGAUCGGCUAACUCCGUGCCAGCAGCCGCGGUAAUACGGAGGAUCCGAGCGUUAUCCGGAUUUAUUGGGUUUAAAGGGAGCGUAGGUGGAUUGUUAAGUCAGUUGUGAAAGUUUGCGGCUCAACCGUAAAAUUGCAGUUGAAACUGGCAGUCUUGAGUACAGUAGAGGUGGGCGGAAUUCGUGGUGUAGCGGUGAAAUGCUUAGAUAUCACGAAGAACUCCGAUUGCGAAGGCAGCUCACUAGACUGCAACUGACACUGAUGCUCGAAAGUGUGGGUAUCAAACAGGAUUAGAUACCCUGGUAGUCCACACAGUAAACGAUGAUUACUCGCUGUUUGCGAUAUACAGUAAGCGGCCAAGCGAAAGCAUUAAGUAUUCCACCUGGGGAGUACGCCGGCAACGGUGAAACUCAAAGGAAUUGACGGGGGCCCGCACAAGCGGAGGAACAUGUGGUUUAAUUCGAUGAUACGCGAGGAACCUUACCCGGGCUUAAAUUGCAUUUGAAUAAUCUGGAAACAGGUUAGCCGCAAGGCAAAUGUGAAGGUGCUGCAUGGUUGUCGUCAGCUCGUGCCGUGAGGUGUCGGCUUAAGUGCCAUAACGAGCGCAACCCUUAUCUUUAGUUACUAACAGGUCAUGCUGAGGACUCUAGAGAGACUGCCGUCGUAAGAUAUGAGGAAGGUGGGGAUGACGUCAAAUCAGCACGGCCCUUACGUCCGGGGCUACACACGUGUUACAAUGGGGGGUACAGAAGGCAGCUACCUGGUGACAGGAUGCUAAUCCCAAAAACCUCUCUCAGUUCGGAUCGAAGUCUGCAACCCGACUUCGUGAAGCUGGAUUCGCUAGUAAUCGCGCAUCAGCCAUGGCGCGGUGAAUACGUUCCCGGGCCUUGUACACACCGCCCGUCAAGCCAUGAAAGCCGGGGGUACCUGAAGUACGUAACCGCAAGGAGCGUCCUAGGGUAAAACUGGUAAUUGGGGCUAAGUCGUAAAAAGGUAGCC